Molecule: long non-coding RNA, 852 nt
Filed under: Rattus norvegicus (Norway rat)
Lineage: Eukaryota; Metazoa; Chordata; Mammalia; Rodentia; Muridae
Description: long non-coding RNA NONRATT003377
Source: RNAcentral
CUGCCUUCCCUGCAUGAAUACCCAGGACAGGGCUGCCCUAGAGAGGUAGUUGCUGGCACAGGCAGGUGUGAUCUGUACCAGCAGCAAAGCCUCUCACAUGGCUAGUUCCUUUUUGUGGCCCCAACAAGGCUCUGCCAAGCACAUUCUGAGUUAGACUUUACAUUAGAACAGGAAAGCAAACACCUGGGACUCUUCUCCAGGGAGCUGACCUGUUUCGUGGCAGCUCUUUAAAGUCCGUUUGUGGGAGCCAUCUUUUUGGUAAGAAGGAAUAAGCUCAUUGAAUUCGGUUCUUGUGGGAUCGGGAGGCUUGAUGAGCGAUACUGGUUUUAUUCUCUUCAAAUCCUGUAUUCUCCUUGCAGAAAGAACCCAUCCAGCCAGCGGAGUGCAAGCAGCAGUGAAAAGCAGCGACCCUAUGGGGCUGCCUCGUGGACGGCUGUCAGGACCGCAGGCUGCAGGCAGGAGCCUCAGUCCCUGCCAAAGCAGAAUUUUGUUGACAGUGCUGUGACAUCUAACCAUUUCCAAGUGCAUGAUCCUCUCCCCCUUCCCUUCUUACUUUGCUAAACUUGUACAGUGAAGACUGCUGCAGUUCAGAAUAGGAGAUUUAGUUGUAGCAGCUGCAGCUUUGGUGCCUGAAGAUCGCUUGGGGUGAGCCGGGGCUGUGCCUGGGAUUGACAGCCUGGUGAUUAUGUGCACUCAGCCCUCCCCUACUGAAAAGGCCCCAUGGUUCCAGCCGCCGAACUGUGUGGGAAGCUGCUCCAGCUGCUGUGCCCUAGUCAUCUCCCAAGCACUGUAGAGGAAGCUGUGCUCGCCUUAGAGCAUUUUUUUCUUGUGUUUUGGUUUUAGGGGUGGGUG